RNAcentral lists this ribosomal RNA (640 nucleotides) under Beauveria bassiana. RNAcentral describes it as "eukaryotic LSU rRNA". The stretch from base 134 to 287 matches the Rfam family "5.8S ribosomal RNA". Lineage: Eukaryota; Fungi; Ascomycota; Sordariomycetes; Hypocreales; Cordycipitaceae. The record is from RNAcentral.
GAACCUACCUAUCGUUGCUUCGGCGGACUCGCCCCAGCCCGGACGCGGACUGGACCAGCGGCCCGCCGGGGACCUCAAACUCUUGUAUUCCAGCAUCUUCUGAAUACGCCGCAAGGCAAAACAAAUGAAUCAAAACUUUCAACAACGGAUCUCUUGGCUCUGGCAUCGAUGAAGAACGCAGCGAAAUGCGAUAAGUAAUGUGAAUUGCAGAAUCCAGUGAAUCAUCGAAUCUUUGAACGCACAUUGCGCCCGCCAGCAUUCUGGCGGGCAUGCCUGUUCGAGCGUCAUUUCAACCCUCGACCUCCCCUUGGGGAGGUCGGCGUUGGGGACCGGCAGCACACCGCCGGCCCUGAAAUGGAGUGGCGGCCCGUCCGCGGCGACCUCUGCGUAGUAAUACAGCUCGCACCGGAACCCCGACGCGGCCACGCCGUAAAACACCCAACUUCUGAACGUUGACCUCGAAUCAGGUAGGACUACCCGCUGAACUUAAGCAUAUCAUUGUAGGGAAGAAAAUCACUCCCUAACCCUUUCUGUGAACCUACCUAUCGUUGCUUCGGCGGACUCGCCCCAGCCCGGACGCGGACUGGACCAGCGGCCCGCCGGGGACCUCAAACUCUUGUAUUCCAGCAUCUUCUGAAUA